RNAcentral lists this non-coding RNA (80 nucleotides) under Chromera velia. Lineage: Eukaryota; Chromeraceae. The record is from RNAcentral.
AACCGAGAAAGAAAGAAAGAAAGAAAGAAAAGAAAAGAAAAGAAAGAAGCAAUCUCUCGCAUGCAUGCAUGCAUGAAUUU